RNAcentral lists this ribosomal RNA (500 nucleotides) under uncultured bacterium. Its description in RNAcentral is "partial 16S ribosomal RNA". It matches the Rfam family "Bacterial small subunit ribosomal RNA", at positions 30 to 523 of the family's 1533-position model. The record is from RNAcentral.
AUUGAACGCUGGCGGAAUGCUUUACACAUGCAAGUCGAACGGCAGCACGGACUUCGAUCUGGUGGCGAGUGGCGAACGGGUGAGUAAUGUAUCGGAACGUGCCCAGUCGUGGGGGAUAACGUAGUGAAAAUUACGCUAAUACCGCAUACGAUCUAUGGAUGAAAGCGGGGGAUCGCAAGACCUCGCGCGAUUGGAGCGGCCGAUAUCAGAUUAGGUAGUUGGUGGGGUAAAGGCUCACCAAGCCAACGAUCUGUAGCUGGUCUGAGAGGACGACCAGCCACACUGGAACUGAGACACGGUCCAGACUCCUACGGGAGGCAGCAGUGGGGAAUUUUGGACAAUGGACGCAAGUCUGAUCCAGCCAUUCCGCGUGCAGGAUGAAGGCCCUCGGGUUGUAAACUGCUUUUGUACGGAACGAAAAGGUUUCCAUUAAUACUGGGAGCUCAUGACGGUACCGUAAGAAUAAGCACCGGCUAACUACGUGCCAGCCGCCGCUGUAA